Vombatus ursinus (common wombat) is the source of this 295-nucleotide long non-coding RNA. RefSeq lists it as uncharacterized. The transcript is spliced from 3 exons. NCBI's taxonomy places the organism in Eukaryota, Metazoa, Chordata, Mammalia, Diprotodontia, Vombatidae. The record is from RefSeq and is a predicted model, not a curated record.
CCAGGUUCCUCAAGUGUGUGCUGCUCCCUUCUUGUCCCUGUUUGGGGACUGAUAGGGCUUUUGACUUGGAUGUUGCACAGAGUAACAGCAUUCAAUUCACCAUAUAAUCCUUGCAAUAUGGCUUUAGAAGCUGGAUAUGGUAGUUGCCAUGGAUUUCUCAUCAUCCCAGUAAAGCGGUUUCAUUUCUUCAGCUCCAAAUUGACAAGGAAGAAAACAGAAUAACUGGAGCUACCAAUUUGAGAACUGCUUCACAUCACAGUGGGAUUUCCCCUUCUACAGAACUAUGACAACCAAC